Long non-coding RNA from Acanthopagrus latus (yellowfin seabream), 2329 nucleotides. RefSeq lists it as uncharacterized. The record is from RefSeq and is a predicted model, not a curated record. Lineage: Eukaryota; Metazoa; Chordata; Actinopteri; Spariformes; Sparidae. The transcript is spliced from 5 exons.
GACGCAUCCUGAUCAUUCUUCUCUUCUUUACCUGCUUUGUACAGAUCAGAUUCCCCAGGUUACAGCACAAAAUAUUCAUGCUACAGUUUCAUGGAUGACUCCACAAAGAAAAUAGUUAUGUCUGAUCUGGUUCAGGUUUCUGAGACCACAAGCACACCUGUGAUGGAGCCAGUGGGCUUCCACAGGGGGUUGGAUCAUUUACUAGCCUCUAGAGUGUCUGUGGAUAUUGUCACUACAGACCAUGCUCCUUCAAUAAGGAAGAUCAUGAGGGAGUCCUACCCUGACCUCAGACAUCAUUUGAUGCAUGGCAUGUAGCCAAAGAAUGACCGGACCAGAAAUGGAUCCACCAGACAGUGUACAGGUUUGUAGGCUGGGGAACAAAUUGGUGGAGGUUUUGAGCGGCAAGCCUGACACAGGGGAGAAGCUAAGGGCCAUAGCAGAUUUUGAUGAAGAACUGUUUAUUAGGCCUUGGUUGAAGGAACUCCCUUGUGUCGCACUUGUUAUAGCACAGCUGGCUAAAUUCAGAAAGGCUUUGGUUGCAAACCUCUAUGGCGUGGACUCUCAGGUGGUGGCAAGCCACCAUGCUUCAGCCACAGUCAAGCUACCAGCCCAAACCCACGCUGCAGUCACAGCCUGGCUACCAACCCAGGACUCAGUCUAAACCCCUGUACCUACCAGUGGCUCUCAGUCGGCGGCCCGGUCAACACCUGCCAGUGGCCUUCAGUCGGCGGUCCAGAUGGCACCAGUCCAUGAACCUCGGUCCCACGCCAAGUCUAGUGCUUGCUCCUCAGUCGGAGGCCCAGCCGAGUCGAGUUCCUGCACCUCGGUCGGAGGCCCGGCCGAGUCUCACAUCAAGUCCAGUGCCUGCUCCUCGGUCGGGGGCCCAGCCGAGGUCGUUUGUUGCCAGAGAACCUUCAUUGGCUCACAGGUCACCAGCUCCUGGCAAAACUCUGGUGGUGGCCAAGACCCUGGAGGGUUUCCCAGCCAGUGGUCUGGUCGCUAGUGGGUCCCAGCCUAUGCCUUCGCCACCGGCCUCCAGUGGGUCUCGGCCCACGCCUUCGCCUUAGUUGCCAGCCUCCAGGGGGUUCCAGCCCGCACCUACACCUUCGUCGCCGGCCUCCAGCGAGUUCCAGGCCGCACAUACGCCUUCGUCGCCGGCCUCCCACGGGAUCCAGCCUGCGCCUACGCCUUUGUCACAGACCUCCAGAGCGCCUUCGCCUUCGUCGCCGGCCCCCAGAACGCCUUCAUGUUCGUUCCUGGCCUCUAGUGGGUCCCAGCCCACGUUCCCAGCCUCUAGUGCAGUGGUGUCAAACUGAUCCAGUAAAGGGCCAUGUGGCUGCAGGUUUUCAUUCCAACCAAGCAAGAACACACCUGAUAUGGAUCAGCCAACCAAGCAAGAACACACCUGAUUUGGAUCAGCCAACCAAUCAGCCAACCAAGCAAGAACACACCUGAUUACUGGAUCAGUUUGAUACCACUGCUCUAGUGGGUCCCAGUCCACAUCCCUGGCCUCCAGUGGGUCCCAGUACUUGCCUCCACCCUCCUGUUUGUUUGGACCUCGUUUUCCCUUUUUCCUCCAACCUGACACAAAUUUCUAAUUUGAAAUUUUGUAGAUAUUCUGAAAUAUGAGCCUAUAGACUCAGUCCCAUGAGUUUGUCCAAACAGAUUCUUUUCUUGAACUUCUAUUUAUGUUAGUUUGAAAAAAAAAUGCAAGAGCAGCAGCAAGAAAAAGAGAACAUGGAAUUGCAAGCAUGGAUCAAGUUGAGCGGAAAUCAAAUUUGGUGGUCUUGCAGUUCUUGUGGCCCUAAAGAACACUGUGAUGGACAAGACCCUCCUGAAGGACGAGUCGCGUGACCUUGUCCAAGCACACAGGGGAGCUAGAGGUUUACCACAGCUCAGUGCUAAAGUAUGCAGAGAAGGGGAGGCACUUCAAGUAUACUUCCAUGCAGGCCGGAACUCAGCUCAGUGUCAUGGACCCCAACUACAAUGUUGGCCGGGAACAUGCAACUACCCUUGAUGAACAUGCUGAAUCAAAUGAAGUAUAAGUAAUCAAUACUGUUUCUAGCCAAGGUUCAGAGAAAUACAACAUCUUUCACUCAAAGCUGUCAAGUCAGUAAAUGGUCAGAAAUAUAUAUGAGCCGACCUGUCGGGGCUUUGGAGAAGACCUCGUGGAAUGUGUCUUCCAGUGUAGACGGGCCAGUAUCCAUCCAACCAGCCCAUGUAGCUCCCACUCCAAAGCCUGAUAAAGACUCAUUGCUGACACAAAAUAUAUCAUGUUUCAAAAGCUGAGUUGCAUCAUGUUGUGAAUAAAAAGAUGACUGUGUUUGUA